Bubalus bubalis (water buffalo) is the source of this 539-nucleotide long non-coding RNA. RefSeq lists it as uncharacterized. Lineage: Eukaryota; Metazoa; Chordata; Mammalia; Artiodactyla; Bovidae. The transcript is spliced from 3 exons. The record is from RefSeq and is a predicted model, not a curated record.
ACGCCGAGGGCUUUAAUGUCCGUCGCUCCAAAUCUUUGUUGUGACGAGACAAAGAACCGAGGAACAUACACUCACGUGACAUCUAUGGUGCCGUGACUUGGAUAUAACCUGGCUGAAACAACCUCUGCAUGGAAGAGGCCAAGCAGAGCAGGAACCCAGCUCAGUGAAGCUCCCACACUAGAAGCAGAAGGUAAAGAAACCCAGAGCAGGGGAAGGCCCAUCGUGCUGGGAACCGGGACAGAGAAAAACGAACUCAGCAGAAAGCUCACGCGGUCCAGUCUCAGAUUCCAGAAGACCUCCGGUUAAGAGAUGCAAAGACCUCCCUAUGCACCUCAGAGUGAAAGGGGAAGCAAAAAUGAAGAUGCUUUUGUAACGGAAUGGACUUUGUAACAAAAGGACUUGUAUCCAGAAAUUCAAAGAGCUCACAAGACUCAAUAAUAAGAAAAUAAGCAACUCAACUUUAUUUUUUUAUUCACUUUUAUUAAUAACCAUGUAUUAAUUUCACAUAGUUGAAAUAAAACCUUUUACAAUCCACGGUA